RNAcentral lists this long non-coding RNA (1150 nucleotides) under Cicer arietinum (chickpea). Its description in RNAcentral is "long non-coding RNA (CARI_LNC003307)". The record is from RNAcentral. Lineage: Eukaryota; Viridiplantae; Streptophyta; Magnoliopsida; Fabales; Fabaceae.
UUAUUCUUCUACGAUUUUCUUCAAGGAUUGUGCCUCGUUUAUCCUUUUGCUUUAUAUUUUACAAAGGAGGUCUAAGACAUAGUGUGAGGGAAGGCUGCGAUAGAGUAGAGUAAAAGUUGGAUCUGUAGAAUCGAUCAUGAGAUCAAGUAAUUCCACGAGGGACUUGGUGCUCUACUUGAGCUAAGGCUAAUUAGAAUGUUUUAUAGUAUUUUAAUUUGAAAGAUGUGAAUCUUUAUUUCUUUAGGAAGUAAUAUUUUUAAACGAACUACAGUUUAUUCUUUUAAAGCUGUAUCUAAUACUUCACUUCUGGUCAGAUUGGAAAGCACGGGCGGACGUUGUGAAGCUUUUAAAGCAUCUAAAAAAAGAAUUAACUGUGCUAGUUGUCAGCCAUGACUUGAGGUUGUUUCAAUUUACUCUGUUAUUAAUUUUAGAUUAUCUAACUUCUUAUCAAAUUAUUGUUCAUUUUAUAUUAUAUACUUCCUCUGGUCUCAUAUAUAAGAAGAAAAAAUCAUCAAGAGAUUCAAGACCAAGGAGGCUCAUUUAAUGUUAUAAUUUCAAAAGCUUGUAUAUAAUUUUGGCAUUAAAUGUUUUUACACCCACUUAUAUAGAUAGUAGAUGCAUUUCUAGUAAAUAUAGAAAUGAUAUUAAAGUAAUUUUAGCAAUUUAUACACUUUAAAAUUUGUGACCUUUUUAUAUAAUUAGGACAAAAAACCAAAAUUUUCUUAAGCAUGGGACCAAAGUGAGUAUUACAUUUGUUUACAAGUUUAUCUUUUGAUUUAAUUUCUUGAUUUGUCCACAUCAUUCAAACUUUUUAACUACAAAUGUUACAAAGAAAUUGAAUUAAUGUGAGCUAAAUAAUGAUUUUGAUACAUUGACGAAUAACUAUUGAUGUAGAAUUUAUAUGGUGUUUGAUAGGUAACCCUUAGUACGUGGGUUAAUUAGGUUAAUCAGGGCGAUAGUUGAGUCCUUUAGAAUAAAUAAAUCAGAUGUUGCCAAUAAAUAGGAAGAAGGUUUGAGAUGGAGAGGGGAUCAAUUGGUGAGAUUAUAGUUUGGGUGAGUCCUAGAUCUCUUUAAUAUCUAGGAGUUUGUUCAAACAGUCAAUGAAGAAUUUCCUUUUCUAAUUAAGUUCCUAUACUAUUUAUGUGUGUAA